RNAcentral lists this ribosomal RNA (152 nucleotides) under Pachyphlodes carnea. Its description in RNAcentral is "5.8S ribosomal RNA". It matches the Rfam family "5.8S ribosomal RNA". Rfam says of the family: 5.8S ribosomal RNA (5.8S rRNA) is a component of the large subunit of the eukaryotic ribosome. It is transcribed by RNA polymerase I as part of the 45S precursor that also contains 18S and 28S rRNA. The record is from RNAcentral. Lineage: Eukaryota; Fungi; Ascomycota; Pezizomycetes; Pezizales; Pezizaceae.
CUUUCAACAACGGAUCUCUAGGCUCUUGCAUCGAUGAAGAACGCAGUGAAAUGUGAUAAGUAAUGUGAAUUGCAGAAUCUCGUGAAUCAUCGAAUCUUUGAACGCACAUUGCGCCCAAUGGUAUUCCACUGGGCAUACCUGUUUGAGUGUCA